Molecule: non-coding RNA, 694 nt
Organism: Odocoileus virginianus texanus
Lineage: Eukaryota; Metazoa; Chordata; Mammalia; Artiodactyla; Cervidae
Source: RefSeq, a predicted model, not a curated record
UCUUACAUGUUGUAGCUAAGACCCAACACAAACAAAUAAAUGAGUAAAUAUUAAAAAAAAAUAAAAUAGAAAUGAAUAUUGGAAGGCAAAUAUCAUGACCGCUACAGUUUCCCAAGUAAAAUCAGGGCAGAAGAAAGACUAGUGUUCAGCAGGUAAACAUAUAGACUAAACAGCAAUGAUAUAGCUACUGUUACCAAAUCACCUAUGUUUCUGAUGAUAUAGGAGCCAUAUGUGUCUAUUUCAAAGUCUCAACUAAGAAGACAGAGUAUGUUCCCUGAGUCUGGACUCAACCCUCUGAUAACUUGGAUGUGGGCUAACAUCAGUUCAACUCCCUCUCAGGGUCAGGAUGACGACUGAAAGAGUGUGAGAAGCAGGGCCUUGGCCUCUAUCUGAGUCUGAAGUGUCUUUCACAAAAUAUCCAGAUGGUACUCCUGCUCCUUGGCAUUUGAAGCAUCUCUUUUAAACUUCAGCCACAGAAUACAGCCAGGAAGAUGGGAGGAAAAUCACCAGAUGGGGACACAGCAUGGAUAUGAGCAGAGCUCUGUGCCCUUAGCAGCUACCUAGACAACCAGGCAGGCAGAAAAAUGGCCCUGUGAGGAUGUCCACACCUAAUUCCUGGAAUCUACUCUCCCUGACACAGAUAAAAAGUUUUUAUUAGUGUAAUUAAGUUUGUGUUGUGCUUAGUCACCUCUGA